CAUCCCCACCAUAAACCCCACUCCCAUAAAAAGGAGUUCUAAGGACUUAUGAAGACCGCCUCUUACUAACCUAGUUAAUAAGAGAGUGUAGAUGAAUUUAAAUCAAAACAAAACGAACCUAGUUAUUAUAUCUUUACCGAUAUAAUCUAGGAACGCGACGUCAUCAUAGACCUAGUCUUGAGUAAUCGUGUUUCUAGUAUAGUUCUAUCGUUAUACUGUUUUUCGAUCGAGCCUCCAAUCAGUCAAGAAUACCCGCUGAAUUUAAGCAUAUAACUAGGCGGAGGAGAAGAAACUAACCAGGAUUCCCUCAGUNNCGGCGAGUGAAGCGGCAAAA
Molecule: ribosomal RNA, 334 nt
Filed under: uncultured eukaryote
Lineage: Eukaryota
Description: eukaryotic LSU rRNA
Rfam family: Eukaryotic large subunit ribosomal RNA (bases 229-334)
Source: RNAcentral